RNAcentral lists this ribosomal RNA (1026 nucleotides) under Pleurostoma richardsiae. Its description in RNAcentral is "SSU rRNA". It matches the Rfam family "Eukaryotic small subunit ribosomal RNA", at positions 75 to 1111 of the family's 1831-position model. Lineage: Eukaryota; Fungi; Ascomycota; Sordariomycetes; Calosphaeriales; Pleurostomataceae. The record is from RNAcentral.
UAAACAGCGAAACUUGCGGACGGCUCAUUAAAUCAGUUAUCGUUUAUUUGAUAGCACCUACUACAUGGAUAACUGUGGUAAUUCUAGAGCUAAUACAUGCUAAAAAUCCCGACUUCGGAAGGGAUGUAUUUAUUAGAUUAAAAACCAAUGCCCUUCGGGGCUCUCUGGUGAUUCAUAAUAACUGCUCGAAUCGCAUGGCCUUGCGCCGGCGAUGGCUCAUUCAAAUUUCUGCCCUAUCAACUUUCGACGGCUGGGUCUUGGCCAGCCAUGGUGACAACGGGUAACGGAGGGUUAGGGCUCGACCCCGGAGAAGGAGCCUGAGAGACGGCUACUACAUCCAAGGAAGGCAGCAGGCGCGCAAAUUACCCAAUCCCAAUUCGGGGAGGUAGUGACAAUAAAUACUGAUACAGGGCUCUUUUGGGUCUUGUAAUCGGAAUGAGAACAAUUUAAAUCCCUUAACGAGGAACAAUUGGAGGGCAAGUCUGGUGCCAGCAGCCGCGGUAAUUCCAGCUCCAAUAGCGUAUAUUAAAGUUGUUGCAGUUAAAAAGCUCGUAGUUGAACCUUGGGCCUGGCUGGCCGGUCCGCCUCACCGCGUGCACUGGUCCGGCCGGGCCUUUCCCUCUGGGGAGCCGCAUGCCCUUCACUGGGCGUGUCGGGGAACCAGGACUUUUACUGUGAAAAAAUUAGAGUGUUCAAAGCAGGCCUAUGCUCGAAUACAUUAGCAUGGAAUAAUAGAAUAGGACGUGUGGUUCUAUUUUGUUGGUUUCUAGGACCGCCGUAAUGAUUAAUAGGGACAGUCGGGGGCGUCAGUAUUCAAUUGUCAGAGGUGAAAUUCUUGGAUUUAUUGAAGACUAACUGCUGCGAAAGCGUUCGCCAAGGAUGUUUUCAUUAAUCAGGAACGAAAGUUAGGGGAUCGAAGACGAUCAGAUACCGUCGUAGUCUUAACCAUAAACUAUGCCGACUCGGGAUCGGACGAUGUUAUUUUUUGACUCGUUCGGCACCGUAUACGAAAGUAAAGUUUCUGGG